This 253-nucleotide ribosomal RNA is filed under the name uncultured bacterium. Its description in RNAcentral is "partial 16S ribosomal RNA". It matches the Rfam family "Bacterial small subunit ribosomal RNA", at positions 524 to 776 of the family's 1533-position model. The record is from RNAcentral.
GACGUAGGGCGCGAGCGUUGUCCGGAUUUAUUGGGCGUAAAGAGCUCGUAGGCGGUUUGUCGCGUCGGGAGUGAAAACUCAGGGCUUAACCCUGAGCCUGCUUCCGAUACGGGCAGACUAGAGGUAUGCAGGGGAGAACGGAAUUCCUGGUGUAGCGGUGAAAUGCGCAGAUAUCAGGAGGAACACCGGUGGCGAAGGCGGUUCUCUGGGCAUUACCUGACGCUGAGGAGCGAAAGUGUGGGGAGCGAACAGG